Ipomoea nil (Japanese morning glory) is the source of this 1899-nucleotide long non-coding RNA. RefSeq lists it as uncharacterized. The record is from RefSeq and is a predicted model, not a curated record. The transcript is spliced from 2 exons. Lineage: Eukaryota; Viridiplantae; Streptophyta; Magnoliopsida; Solanales; Convolvulaceae.
UCAAUUCGGAUUUUCCGAAUCCAACCGAACCAAACCGCUUCACAAUUCGGUAAGCCUUUUUGAAUUUUAAUUUACCGAACGGUUCAGUGCUGAGCCUUCCGCCGUCCGCCACUCCACCAUCUGAAAAUCUAAGAAUCGAAAACUUCAAGGAGACAAAGACGAAGCCUCCGCCAUCCGCCUGCUUCUCUGCUCCACCGUCCGCCAUUGCCUGCUUCCCUGCUCCGCCUUUGCCUGAUUUUGAGUUGAAUUCGCAAUAAGUUCCAAGUGUGUUGUGUGUGUGAAUAUAGGAGUAAUUGUGACUGUAAUUCUGAUCUUGCAGGGAAGAGACUAUGGAAGUCAAGAUUAUACGUAUCCUUUUUUGUCAUUUUGUGUUUUGAAUAAUUUGGAUUUUAUUUAUGAUCUACUGGAGUUAUAUUGAUGCAAAAUGUAAUAUUAAAAAAUUAAAAUAAUUCCUAAAUUCUUGAAACUCAAAUCAAUUUGGCAUUUUAUAAUUUGUUUAAGGUAAGGCUUUGGGAGCCAUUUGAUAUGCAUCGUUGUUCUGUGUGAAUUUCUUGAACUCAUGAAGUAUUAACCUUUUUAUUUUUAGUUUCUCACUUCACCACUAGUGAAGUUUGAUUUGGACAUGCAUAUAAACUUUGUUUCAUUUUAAUUCUUCUUAUUGUUUUCUGUUUGUUUGGUGUUUGGUUGGACUAAUUUUCAGUAUGCCAGAAAUUCUUGAGAUUGCCUGUCUUUUGCUAUCCAGCUUAAAUUUCUGUGUAAUCAGUUUUCACUUGACCAAUUCCUUUGCUUUGUGCUGUGGGUGGCUAUGAACAGAGUGGCAUGCUGUUGCUUCAUGGACAUGGGAUGCACAGGAUGAGACUUGUGGAAUUUGUAGGAUGGCCUUUGAUGGUUGUUGUUAGGAUGUCAAGUUGUUACUCUUUACACCUGCCAAUCUGCCAUUGUAUUACCAUUAAGUUUCGACUUCUAUUUGAAUUCCAAACUGUUACUCUUUAUACCUGCCAUUAUUUUGCCCUUAAUUCUAUCUUUUCUAUGUGACUCUGAUUGCUAUUAUUGCCUUGUACUUGCACACAUUUGGAUUAUAUGGUCAUGUGGCAGUGUGGCACUGUAAUACUUAUUUUUAUGCCUUUAGUAAAUCCACUAUUAUCGUUAAGCUUUGUUUCUACUUCUGGUAGGAUGUCAAGUAGUUACUAUUUGCACCUGUCAUUGUAUCACCAUUAAGUUUCUACUUCUAUUAGGAUUCCAAACUGUUACUCUUUAUACCUGCCAUUAUAUUGCCUUUAAUUCUAACUUUUCUAUCAGUUUAUCAAAAUACUGUCUAGUUCAGACUUCUACUUCUUGUGGGAUUGAUAAUGAUAUCCUUUUCUCCUGCAUCUUAUAAAUUUGAAAUUUCCCCUGGAUCUACAAACUUGUUCGAUAAAAAUAUGUUUGUGAAAUUAGCAAGGAUUUGCUUAAUCCUUUCGGUGUAUAAAAUUUCCAAGACAGUUGCUGUAGAUGAGUGCUCCAGCUUUUCUGUGCAAUUUGAAGCUCAUAAUCAUUUUUGACAAUUGACAAUCAUUAUAUUUUGGGGUUUUUACCAACACUCUCUUGGUUUAAACUUCCAAUUCAUAUCCCUCCUGCCACCUGUAUGGCACUUGGUCCGCUAAAUGAUUAAUAAUAAAGAUCUACGGUGGUGUCUCAAUUAUUGUCUUUUAUGAAAGAUCAUCUUCAAUGCUUAUGUUACAAGGAUGUAAAGAGAAUGUUCAUCGUAUAGUUUGUAUGUUCAGGUGGUUUAAAUGUUUUCUUGCAGUUUGGGGUGCUUGCAAUCAUGCAUUUCAUCUCCAUUGUAUCUUGAAGUGGGUGAAUUCACAGACUUCUCAGGCACACUGUCCCAUGUGCCGCAGGGAAUGGCAAUUCAAAGGA